Molecule: long non-coding RNA, 332 nt
Organism: Passer domesticus (house sparrow)
Lineage: Eukaryota; Metazoa; Chordata; Aves; Passeriformes; Passeridae
Exons: 4
Source: RefSeq, a predicted model, not a curated record
GUUGGCAUUUCUUGAAGGAAGCACUCCAUCUUCGGUGCGAGCCCCUGCUGCAGGAAGGAAGGCAAAGCCAGACACGGGCACAGGCACAGCAGACUGGGAUGCUGGGAAGGUUCCUCCAUUAGCCUGGCGCUCUGAAGUUGUGAAGCCCUCUGGUCAUUCUGCAGCUGUGUCUGAAGGGACAACUCCACCAACUCCUACCUUGGAUGCUGCACAAAAGGCCAGCUCCCAUGGCAGGGGUCCACCCACAGGAGAGACCAAAGACAUGGCAGGCAAGAAAUUCCAGGACCCAUUAGAAAUCUUGUGGCAAAUGCUGAAGGAACGUCUGCAGAGAA